GGACGAAGCAAUGCAGGGUCCAAAUCUUCUUUGUGAUUAGUGGUGAACACUAUUAUUCUCUCCUCCGCACAACUCGACCACAGCCCAUCAAAACAGUUUAGCAGAGACAACAGCGUGAACCUGACGUUCUUGGAAUGGGAUUCAGAAUUGUCUGAUUUUGAUCGACCAUGUACCCCUGAAUUACAAUCUAUGUCUUCAAUUACGAUUAUGGAUUUUCUAUCUACAUGUAACAUCGCACUUCUUAAAUCAGAAUCAGAACUAAUAUUUGCAAGCUCCAAAUCAU
This 283-nucleotide unclassified non-coding RNA is filed under the name Hevea brasiliensis (rubber tree). Lineage: Eukaryota; Viridiplantae; Streptophyta; Magnoliopsida; Malpighiales; Euphorbiaceae. The record is from RNAcentral.